GCGAAAGUGGCGGAACUGGCAGACGCGCCGGAUUUAGGAUCCGGUAGCCGAAAGGCUGUGGGGGUUCGAGUCCCCCCUUUCGCACCA
RNAcentral lists this transfer RNA (87 nucleotides) under Luteitalea sp. RNAcentral's name for it is "tRNA-Leu". It matches the Rfam family "tRNA". Rfam says of the family: Transfer RNA (tRNA) molecules are approximately 80 nucleotides in length. Lineage: Bacteria; Pseudomonadati; Acidobacteriota; Vicinamibacteria; Vicinamibacterales; Vicinamibacteraceae. The record is from RNAcentral.